AGUUUGAUCCUGGCUCAGAUUGAACGCUGGCGGCAGGCCUAACACAUGCAAGUCGAGCGGUAGCACAAGAGAGCUUGCUCUCUGGGUGACGAGCGGCGGACGGGUGAGUAAUGUCUGGGAAACUGCCUGAUGGAGGGGGAUAACUACUGGAAACGGUAGCUAAUACCGCAUGACGUCUUCGGACCAAAGUGGGGGACCUUCGGGCCUCACGCCAUCAGAUGUGCCCAGAUGGGAUUAGCUAGUAGGUGGGGUAAUGGCUCACCUAGGCGACGAUCUCUAGCUGGUCUGAGAGGAUGACCAGCCACACUGGAACUGAGACACGGUCCAGACUCCUACGGGAGGCAGCAGUGGGGAAUAUUGCACAAUGGGCGCAAGCCUGAUGCAGCCAUGCCGCGUGUAUGAAGAAGGCCUUCGGGUUGUAAAGUACUUUCAGCGAGGAGGAAGGCAUUAAGGUUAAUAACCUUGGUGAUUGACGUUACUCGCAGAAGAAGCACCGGCUAACUCCGUGCCAGCAGCCGCGGU
This 522-nucleotide ribosomal RNA is filed under the name Hafnia alvei. RNAcentral's name for it is "bacterial SSU rRNA". It matches the Rfam family "Bacterial small subunit ribosomal RNA", at positions 10 to 521 of the family's 1533-position model. Lineage: Bacteria; Pseudomonadati; Pseudomonadota; Gammaproteobacteria; Enterobacterales; Hafniaceae. The record is from RNAcentral.